GAGUGAUGUACAUACAUGUCCAUAAUGAAAAACCCUAGUUAAAUCUUUCUCUCUGUCGCUUUCCUCUUUGCACCCUCACUUCACGCCUAAUAACAACAGCAGCAGCAGCCAACCCAAAGGGAAAAGAGAAACGGAAGAACCCAAUCAUGAGCUGCUGCAAGAACCUCACUUCUUCCCCUUCCCAUUUCUAUUCUUUCUCCAAGCCUUUCCUACCCAAAUCCCUCAGCUUCCCAUUUUUCUUCUCUCCCUCUCCCAACCCCAAAACAGGCCCACGGAAUGCAUUCCACCUCCGCUCAUGGCCACCGCAACGCAGCUUCUCUCGCACCGCAACCAAACGCGUCCCAAUCCAAGCAAAUUCGGCCGCCGCCGCCGACGAGAAGGCCCCCAAACUGGGCAAAAGAACGGAUUUGAAAAAGAUUAUGAUCCUCGGAGCCGGCCCAAUUGUCAUUGGCCAAGCUUGUGAAUUCGAUUAUUCGGGAACCCAAGCUUGCAAAGCGUUAAGAGAGGAAGGGUACGAGGUCGUUUUGAUAAACUCGAACCCGGCAACCAUCAUGACUGACCCGGAUAUGGCGGAUCGGACUUACGUAACUCCGAUGACGCCCGAAUUAGUCGAACAAGUCCUCGAGAAAGAACGUCCCGACGCGCUCCUGCCCACAAUGGGUGGCCAAACAGCUUUAAACCUCGCGGUGGCGUUGGCGGAGUCCGGGGUUUUAGAGAAAUACGGCGUGGAAUUAAUAGGAGCAAAGCUGGACGCCAUUAAAAAGGCUGAGGAUCGCGAUUUGUUCAAGCAAGCGAUGAAAAAUAUUGGUAUUAAAACCCCGCCUUCAGGUAUUGGGAAUACACUAGAUGAAUGUAUCGAAAUAGCUAAUGAAAUCGGGGAGUUCCCAUUGAUCAUUAGGCCCGCGUUUACUUUAGGAGGGACAGGGGGUGGGAUAGCUUACAAUAAAGAAGAAUUUGAGGCUAUCUGCAAGGCGGGAUUGGCUGCCAGCUUGACUUCACAAGUUUUGGUUGAGAAGUCAUUGUUAGGAUGGAAAGAAUAUGAGUUGGAAGUUAUGAGGGACUUGGCUGAUAACGUUGUGAUCAUUUGUUCAAUUGAGAACAUUGAUCCAAUGGGGGUGCAUACAGGGGAUUCAAUUACUGUGGCGCCUGCACAGACCUUGACUGACAAGGAGUACCAGAGGUUGAGGGAUUAUAGUGUUGCGAUAAUUAGGGAGAUUGGUGUGGAGUGUGGAGGUUCGAAUGUCCAAUUUGCGGUUAAUCCUGUUGAUGGUGAAGUCAUGGUCAUUGAGAUGAAUCCAAGGGUUUCAAGGAGUUCUGCUUUGGCUUCAAAAGCUACAGGCUUUCCAAUUGCAAAAAUGGCAGCUAAGCUGUCAGUUGGGUAUUCGUUGGAUCAGAUUCCUAAUGAUAUUACAAAGAAGACUCCAGCUAGUUUUGAGCCAUCUAUUGAUUAUGUGGUGACUAAGAUCCCACGGUUUGCAUUUGAGAAAUUCCCUGGUUCUCAGCCAAUACUGACUACCCAGAUGAAAUCUGUUGGGGAAUCCAUGGCUCUAGGCCGCACAUUUCAAGAAUCCUUUCAAAAGGCAGUUCGAUCACUGGAAUGUGGCUACUCUGGAUGGGGUUGUGCAAAAGUUAAAGAACUUGAUUGGGAUUGGGACCAGCUGAAAUACAGUCUGAGAGUCCCCAGCCCGGAUCGCAUCCAUGCUAUAUAUGCUGCAAUGAAGAAGGGGAUGAAAGUGGACGAGAUAUAUGAGCUGAGUUUCAUUGACAAAUGGUUCCUCACUCAGUUUAAAGAAUUGGUAGAUGUGGAGCAAUAUCUUUUGUCUCGUAGUUUGUCUGAUCUGACAAAGGAUGAAUUUUAUGAAGUCAAGAAGAGAGGCUUCAGUGAUAAGCAAAUAGCCUUUGCAACGAAGUCAUCAGAGAAAGAAGUCCGAGCAAAGCGAAUAUCAUUGGGAAUUACUCCAGCAUAUAAAAGGGUAGAUACUUGUGCUGCAGAGUUUGAGGCCAAUACUCCUUAUAUGUACUCCUCUUAUGAUUUUGAGUGUGAAUCAGCUCCUACUGAAAAGAAGAAGGUUUUGAUUUUGGGUGGAGGACCAAAUCGUAUUGGUCAGGGGAUUGAGUUUGACUAUUGCUGUUGCCAUACAUCUUUUGCCCUUCAGAAAGCUGGAUUUGAGACAAUCAUGAUGAAUUCAAAUCCUGAAACUGUGUCCACGGAUUAUGAUACUAGUGAUCGUCUUUACUUUGAACCCCUAACAGUUGAAGAUGUUCUUAAUGUUAUUGAUUUAGAAAGACCUGAUGGCAUCAUUGUCCAAUUUGGAGGUCAAACACCCCUUAAGCUGGCUCUGCCCAUUCAGCAUUACUUAGAUGAGCACCAGCCUUUAUGUGCCAGUGGGGUUAGGCAUGUACGCAUUUGGGGUACAUCACCAGAUUCCAUUGAUGCAGCUGAGGACAGAGAGAGGUUCAAUGCCAUCCUUAAUGAGUUAAAGAUUGAACAGCCAAAAGGAGGGAUUGCCAAGAGUGAAGGUGAUGCUCUUGCCAUUGCCACAGAUAUAGGUUACCCAGUUGUCGUUAGGCCUUCGUAUGUGUUGGGUGGCCGAGCAAUGGAGAUCGUAUAUAGUGAUGACAAGCUCGUGACAUAUCUAGAGAAUGCUGUUGAGGUGGAUCCAGAACGGCCUGUACUGAUUGACAAGUAUUUAUCUGAUGCAAUUGAGAUUGAUGUAGAUGCACUUGCUGAUUUGCAUGGUAAUGUGGUGAUUGGGGGGAUAAUGGAGCACAUUGAACAGGCUGGGGUCCACUCUGGUGACUCUGCCUGUUCAAUUCCCACACAAACUAUCCCAUCUGCUUGCUUAGAUACUAUAAGGUCAUGGACUACCAAAUUGGCUAAGAGGCUAAAUGUGUGUGGGCUCAUGAACUGUCAGUAUGCAAUCACAGCAUCUGGUGAUGUUUUCUUACUUGAGGCAAAUCCUCGUGCUUCUCGUACUGUACCAUUUGUUUCCAAGGCAAUUGGGCACCCAUUGGCUAAAUAUGCUGCUCUUGUUAUGUCGGGAAAGUCGCUUAAUGAUUUAGGUUUCACAAAAGAGGUGACACCAAAACAUGUGUCAGUUAAGGAAGCUGUUCUUCCAUUUGAGAAGUUCCAAGGUUGUGAUGUGUUGUUAGGACCUGAAAUGAAAAGCACUGGUGAGGUGAUGGGCAUUGAUUUUGAGUUUGCAAUAGCAUUUGCCAAAGCUCAGAUUGCUGCUGGGCAGAAACUACCGCUGUCUGGCACUGUUUUCCUCAGCUUAAAUGACUUGACAAAGCCCUAUCUUGAAAGAAUCGCAAAAGCUUUCUUAGGCCUGGGGUUCCGGAUUGUUUCAACAUCUGGGACAGCUCACUUUCUCGAACUAAAAGGUAUCCCAGUGGAACGAGUGCUGAAAAUGCAUGAGGGGCGGCCACAUGCUGGUGAUAUGAUUGCGAAUGGGCAGAUCCAGUUGAUGCUGAUCACAAGCUCUGGUGAUGCACUUGAUCAGAUUGAUGGUCGGCGAUUGAGAAGAAUGGCUCUUGCUUACAAGGUUCCUAUAAUAACAACUGUUGAUGGAGCCUUGGCAAGUGCAGAGGCAAUAAGGAGCUUGAAGUCGUGCACUAUCAACAUGAUUGCACUUCAGGACUUCUUUGAUACUGAGGUAGAAGCAGGGAGUAGCAAAAAUUUGCUGUCUACUUCUUCCUCUCUAUAGAUUGAGUAGGCAUUUUGGGUGCCCUUAUGUGUUAGCUUAUGCAGCAGAACGGAGUUACUAUUGGGUAAACUGCAAUGAGCUGGUCAAGAAUUUGAAAGGAAUUUGGCUCGGUGGCUGCAGAAAUCAGUGUUUUAGUCUCUUUUGAGCUCUUUAUCAUCUUAUCUAGAUAACCAUCACUUCACUCUUUUAAGUCCAAAGUUGGCAAUCAAAUCAUUAUUGGAGGACUGCAAAGAACCCAAACAAGAAAAUUCAAAAACCAAGACAACUCAAAUUCAUGACUUGAUUUUCCUUAAUGAAGAGAUAAGAAGCAGACGGUAUACUGUUGGAUUAGGUGUAACGCCUAGCAAGCUUGCGUGGAUCAGCUUAUCUAGAGGCUCGUUUGUUAUCAUUGCACCACAAGGGAGCAAGUCGCUGCUCUGCAGCAAGCCCCCAAGGUACCCUUAAACCUGCACGAGCCAACACUCAAGAAGCCAUCUCUUAGGUUUCGAGACUGGGUGUCUACCUUCUCCUGGAGUUUCAGGCAAAUGUCAUGGAUCUUGAGCUUAUAAGUAUAAAUAAGGGUUUUUUUCACUUGUAAAGUAUGAAUUCAUAACAAACGGUAUUAGAGUUUACUCAAUUUUUUAUUGAUUUGAGAUCUCCAUAAU
RNA transcript from Theobroma umbraticum, 4351 nucleotides. It is a transcript of the gene named carbamoyl phosphate synthetase B, with no coding region annotated. Lineage: Eukaryota; Viridiplantae; Streptophyta; Magnoliopsida; Malvales; Malvaceae. The record is from RefSeq and is a predicted model, not a curated record.